GACGAACGCUGGCGGCGUGCUUCAACACAUGCAAGUCGAACGAGACAAUUAAAAGCUUGCUUUUCAAACGUCCGAGUGGCAAACGGGUGAGUCAACGCGUAGACAACCUGCCGCAAAGAUGGGGACAACAGUUCCGAAAGGACUGCUAAUACCGAAUGUUCCUGGAAGUUCCCGCAUGGAAACUCCCAGCAAAGAUGGCCUCCUACUUGUAAGCGAUCCGCUUUGCGAUGGGUCCUGCGUCCUGAUUAGCUAGUUGGUGAGGUAACGGCCUACCAAGGCGACGAUCAGUAGCCGGUCCUGAGAGGAUGAACGGCCACAUUGGGACUGAGACACGGCCCAGACUCCCUACGGGAGGCAGCAGUGGGGAAUCCUUCCGCAAUGGGCGAAAGCCUGACGGAGCAACGCCGCGUGAGUGAAGAAGGUCCUUCGGAUCCGUAAAGCUCUGUUGCCGGGGACGAGUGUAGGCAAUGCAAACAGCAUUGUGUAAUGACGGUACCCGGCGAGGAAGCCACGGCUAACUACGUGCCAGCAGCCGCGGUAAUACGUAGGUGGCGAGCGUUGUCCGGAAUUAUUGGGCGUAAAGGGAGCGCAGGCGGGCGAGUAAGUCUUUCUUAAAAGUGCGGGGCUCAACCCCGUGAGGGGAGAGAAACUACUCAUCUUGAGUGCAGGAGAGGAAGGCGGAAUUCCUAGUGUAGCGGUGAAAUGCGUAGAUAUUAGGAAGAACACCAGUGGCGAAGGCGGCUUUCUGGACUGUAACUGACGCUGAGGCUCGAAAGCCAGGGGAGCGAACGGGAUUAGAUACCCCGGUAGUCCUGGCCGUAAACGAUGAAUGCUAGGUGUAGGGGGUAUCGACCCCUCCUGUGCCGGAGUUAACGCAAUAAGCAUUCCGCCUGGGGAGUACGGUAGCAAGACUGAAACUCAAAGGAAUUGACGGGGGCCCGCACAAGCGGUGGAGUAUGUGGUUUAAUUCGACGCAACGCGAAGAACUUACCAGGUCUUGACAUAGAGUGACAGACUUAGAGACAAGUCAUUCUCUUCGGAGACACGAGAACAGGGUGGUGCAUGGCUGUCGUCAGCUCGUGUCGUGAGAUGUUUGGGUUAGUUCCGCCACGAGCGCACGCCUAUUCUCUGUUGCCAGCACUGCGAUGGUGGGAACUCGAGGAGACGCGCCGACACGCCGAGGAGGCGGGAUAGUUAGUAGCAUCCCUA
Molecule: ribosomal RNA, 1209 nt
Filed under: Mitsuokella sp. oral taxon G68
Lineage: Bacteria; Bacillati; Bacillota; Negativicutes; Selenomonadales; Selenomonadaceae
Also listed under: 2 other names
Description: bacterial SSU rRNA
Rfam family: Bacterial small subunit ribosomal RNA
Source: RNAcentral